GAUGAACGCUGGCGGCGUGCCUAAUACAUGCAAGUCGAGCGAACGGACGAGAAGCUUGCUUCUCUGAUGUUAGCGGCGGACGGGUGAGUAACACGUGGAUAACCUACCUAUAAGACUGGGAUAACUUCGGGAAACCGGAGCUAAUACCGGAUAAUAUUUUGAACCGCAUGGUUCAAAAGUGAAAGACGGUCUUGCUGUCACUUAUAGAUGGAUCCGCGCUGCAUUAGCUAGUUGGUAAGGUAACGGCUUACCAAGGCAACGAUGCAUAGCCUACCUGAGAGGGUGAUCGGCCACACUGGAACCGAGACACGGUCCAGACUCCUACGGGGGGCAGCAGUAGGGAAUCUUCCGCAGUGGGCGAAAGCCUGACGGAGCAACGCCGCGUGAGUGAUGAAGGUCUUCGGAUCGUAAAACUCUGUUAUUAGGGAAGAACAUAUGUGUAAGUAACUGUGCACAUCUUGACGGUACCUAAUCAGAAAGCCACGGCUAACUACGUG
RNAcentral lists this ribosomal RNA (497 nucleotides) under uncultured bacterium. Its description in RNAcentral is "partial 16S ribosomal RNA". It matches the Rfam family "Bacterial small subunit ribosomal RNA", at positions 28 to 507 of the family's 1533-position model. The record is from RNAcentral.